UACACCUUGGAUGUGCAGGAAAUCGAACGUCGUAAACCGUAAGAUACUUUCCUUUUCCCACUCUGGGGCGGUGCGGUGGGGAUUUUGACGGAGCCCACGCGCUACUUGCAUGCCCAACCUCCAGUUUUAAAUUUCUCAACAGCGACGCAUCUCCCGAUCCCAAUUCCCAUCCCUAUCUCCAGCGAGCAAUGGUGGAGCUUGGCUUCCAAGCCAGCGAUGCUUUGUUUUCAUGGAAUCGGAUAAGACGCAGGCAAGGAUCCCGAUAGGUCCACUAUAAAGCCAUGCGCCGCCUCCACCGCAAUGCGAGCUCUUCGCAAUCUGAGCACAGUCUUCACGAGUUGUUGAUCCUGUUCGGGAGAGGCUUGCAGGAUGGCCCCUGUUGGUGUGAGCAUACAAGUCCGAGAUGAUCAUGUUGUGAUAGAUAAUGGUAUUCUCCAAUUGACUUUGUCGAAUCCCGAGGGGCUCAUCACUGGAGUUAGAUACAAUGGUGUAGAUAAUUUAUUGGAAGUUCUUAACGAAGAAGGGAAUAGAGGGUACUGGGAUGUGGUAUGGAGUGAACCUCAGGGUUCUGGUAUAUUCGAUGUGAUCCAGGGUACACAUUUUGAAAUAAUUCAUGAAGAUGAAAACCAGGUGGAAGUUUCUUUCACAAGAAACUGGGAUCCAUCCCUCCAAGGCAAGCUUGUCCCUUUGAACAUAGAUAAAAGUGACUGCUCGGGCUUCUACACUUACGCCAUCUAUGAGCACCGGGAAGGAUGGCCAGACUUCGAUUUGGCAGAAACCAGAGUUGCUUUCAAGCUUAGGAAGGACAAGUUUCACUACAUGGCAAUAGCAGAUAACAGACAAAGAUUCAUGCCAAUGCCUGAUGAUCGCAUGCCUAAUAGGUCACAGAAAUUGGCAUAUCCUGAGGCUGUUCUACUAAUUAACCCAGUUAAUCCAGACCUAAAAGGAGAGGUGGAUGACAAGUAUCAAUAUUCCUGUGAAGAUAAGGACAACAAGGUCCAUGGAUGGAUAUCUUUUGAUCCUCCGAUUGGUUUUUGGCAAAUUACACCUAGCGAUGAGUUCCGGUCCGGAGGGCCUGUCAAACAAGAUCUAACAUCUCAUGUUGGUCCUACAACAAUUGCUAAGUUUUUGAGUGCUCACUACAGUGGGCAGGAUCUUGUGCCUAAAUUCAGGAAUGGUGAAUACUGGAAGAAAGUCUUUGGUCCUGUGUUCAUCUACCUCAAUUCUACUAUGGAUGGUACAAAUCGACAACUUCUUUGGGACGAUGCAAAACUUCAGGCACUAACACAAGUGGGGAGUUGGCCAUAUGAAUUUCCAGUUUCAGAGGACUUCCAAAAAUCUAAUCAAAGAGGUUCUGUUACUGGGAGAUUACUGGUUCGAGAUAAGUUCAUAGAUGAGAAAGAUAUAAUUGGGGAUGCUGCUUUUGUUGGUUUGGCUUUACCUGGAGAAGUCGGAUCCUGGCAAAGAGAAUUCAAGGGAUAUCAAUUUUGGACUAGAGCCAAUGACAAAGGGAUUUUUACUAUUACUCAUGUUCGAACCGAGACUAUAAUCUUUAUGCAUGGGUUCCUGGAUUUAUCGGGGACUACAAAUUAGAUAUAACUAUAACUAUCUCUUCAGGAAGUGAAAUCAAUUUGGGUGACCUUGUGUAUAAGCCUCCAAGGGAUGGUCCUACUUUAUGGGAAAUAGGAAUUCCCGAUCGCUCUGCUGCUGAGUUCUUUGUCCCAGAUCCUAAUCCUCUCUAUGUCAACAAACUCUAUGUUAAUCAUCCUGACAGAUUUAGGCAAUAUGGUUUAUGGGAGAGAUAUGCUGACUUGUAUCCUGACAGUGAUCUUAUUUAUUCAGUUGGUGCGAGUGACUAUAGAAAAGAUUGGUUUUUCGCUCAUGUUACCAGGAAGAUUGGAGAGAACUCCUAUCAAGCAACGACAUGGCAAAUAAAGUUCCAAGUUGAUAGUGUCAAUCAAACUGGAGCUUACAAGCUUAGAGUAGCACUUGCCUCUGCCACAAUUUCUGAAUUACAAGUUCGUUUUAACGAUGCAACGAUAAAUCCUCCUCACUUUACAACAGGGCUAAUUGGUAGAGACAAUUCGAUUGCAAGACAUGGAAUUCAUGGAUUAUAUUGGUUGUUUAAUAUUGAUGUGCAAAGUGCAUGGCUUAUUCAAGGUGAUAAUACAAUCUAUUUAACUCAGACCAAGAGUACAAGCCCUUUUCAUGGAAUCAUGUAUGAUUAUAUCCGCAUGGAAGGCCCUCCAGGACAAUAAUAUAAACAAAGUGGACAAGUCAUGCAGUAGCUAACUUCUUACUGUCGCUUAAGAACAUCUCUAUGUGCAAAACGUGUGGCUCUGGGUGUCAAUCUGUCAUUACAGAUUGACCUUUUUAUUCUUCAAUGCAUUGUGUGUAAUUUAUAACUUAAUUACAUCCUUGAGAUGAGAUGAAGAAUCUUUUUCUCACGUG
Molecule: RNA transcript, 2451 nt
Organism: Musa acuminata AAA Group (dessert banana)
Lineage: Eukaryota; Viridiplantae; Streptophyta; Magnoliopsida; Zingiberales; Musaceae
Gene name: probable rhamnogalacturonate lyase B
Exons: 16
Source: RefSeq, a predicted model, not a curated record